RNAcentral lists this transfer RNA (83 nucleotides) under Echinostoma caproni. It matches the Rfam family "tRNA". Rfam says of the family: Transfer RNA (tRNA) molecules are approximately 80 nucleotides in length. The record is from Rfam by way of RNAcentral. Lineage: Eukaryota; Metazoa; Platyhelminthes; Trematoda; Plagiorchiida; Echinostomatidae.
GGCCUCGUAGCUCGGCUGGUGGACUGUGCGCUGUCCAAAGUGUAGGUGGCAUUCAUGCGUGGGUUCGAAUCCCACCGAGGCUA